AUUGAACGCUGGCGGCAUGCCUUACACAUGCAAGUCGAACGGCAUCGCGGGAAAGCUUGCUUUCCUGGCGGCGAGUGGCGAACGGGUGAGUAACACAUCGGAACGUACCGGCUAGUGGGGGAUAACCCGUCGAAAGACGGGCUAAUACCGCAUACGCUCUUCGGAGGAAAGCAGGGGACCUUUGGGCCUUGCGCUAGCCGAGCGGCCGAUGUCCGAUUGGCUAGUUGGUGGGGUAAAGGCCUCCCAAGGCGACGAGCGGUAGCGGGUCUGAGAGGACGAUCCGCCACACUGGGACGGAGACACGGCCCAUGCUCCUACGGGAGGCAGCAGUGGGGAAUCUUGGACAAUGGGGGCAACCCUGAUCCAGCAAUGCCGCGUGGGUGAAGAAGGCCUUCGGGUUGUAAAGCCCUUUCGGCAGUGAAGAAAUCGGCGGGGCGAAUAACCCUGCUGGAUGACGGUACCUGCAGAAGAAGCACCGGCUAACUACGUG
Molecule: ribosomal RNA, 490 nt
Filed under: uncultured bacterium
Lineage: Bacteria
Description: partial 16S ribosomal RNA
Rfam family: Bacterial small subunit ribosomal RNA
Source: RNAcentral